Molecule: ribosomal RNA, 253 nt
Filed under: uncultured bacterium
Lineage: Bacteria
Description: partial 16S ribosomal RNA
Rfam family: Bacterial small subunit ribosomal RNA
Source: RNAcentral
UACGUAGGGUGCGAGCGUUGUUCGGAGUUAUUGGGCGUAAAGGGCGUGUAGGCGGCUUGAGAAGUCUGGUUUGAAAUGCACUGGCUCAACUGGUGCGCUGGGUCAGAAACUGGCAGGCUUGAGUUCAUGGGGAGGAGCUGGAAUUCCAGGUGUAGGGGUGAAAUCUGUAGAGAUCUGGAAGAACACCGGUAGCGAAGGCGGGCUCCUAUGGAUGGACUGACGCUGAGGAGCGAAAGCGUGGGGAGCAAACAGG